RNAcentral lists this ribosomal RNA (126 nucleotides) under Nostoc sp. 7D9. RNAcentral's name for it is "partial 16S ribosomal RNA". It matches the Rfam family "Bacterial small subunit ribosomal RNA", at positions 1409 to 1533 of the family's 1533-position model. The record is from RNAcentral. Lineage: Bacteria; Bacillati; Cyanobacteriota; Cyanophyceae; Nostocales; Nostocaceae.
GAUGGGAACUCCCGAAAGUCAUUACUCCAACCGUGAGGGGGAGGAUGCCUAAGGCAGUGCUGGUGACUGGGGUGAAGUCGUAACAAGGUAGCCGUACCGGAAGGUGUGGCUGGAUCACCUCCUUUU